AACGAACGCUGGCGGCGUGGAUAAGACAUGCAAGUCGAACGGGAUUACUUUUGUAGCAAUACAAAGUAGUUCAGUGGCGCAAGGGUGCGUAACACGUGGGCAAUCUGCCGAGAUGUGGGGGAUAGCUCGCCGAAAGGACGAAUUAAUACCGCAUGUGAUUAGGAAGACAUCUUUCCGACAUCAAAGCCGGGGCGAACCUGGCGCAUCUUGAUGAGCCCG
Molecule: ribosomal RNA, 219 nt
Filed under: uncultured bacterium
Lineage: Bacteria
Description: partial 16S ribosomal RNA
Rfam family: Bacterial small subunit ribosomal RNA
Source: RNAcentral